RNAcentral lists this long non-coding RNA (2343 nucleotides) under Homo sapiens (human). RNAcentral describes it as "non-protein coding lnc-RACK1-1:4". Lineage: Eukaryota; Metazoa; Chordata; Mammalia; Primates; Hominidae. The record is from RNAcentral.
ACCUCUGCAAUCCUCCCUAUAGCAAGAUGGGUCAAAGCCUGAUCCCUACCCCCGAAAAUGGGUGUCAAGUGUCUCCGUCAAGGACAGACUUAAGACUCACCCGAAAGAAAACGAGACUUCUGGUAAAGCCCUAGAGACCUGAUCUGGCAUCACCGGCUUUGCUCUAUUUGCUUUGAGGAAGCCAUCCUUCCCUGGUCGUCUUCACUGCAUCUGCUCUGUGUACAGAAUCCUUCUCAUUCUAAUCCACCUUGGUGGCAGUAAGUGCUUAGAUAAGCAAACUUGGCUCACCAAUACCAUGAGGUUCUUUGGUGGGUGAAGAGAUGUUUCCUUUUCCCAGGUCCCCUUACUUCCUCUCCAUCCCCCCACUAAACUCCCAUCUUCUCUCUGUACUUCUCUCACCUUGUACUCCUGCACCACCUCCUCCAAUGGCACCACGCUGUGCUGUUUGUGGCUCCUGGAUUCUCGGCACACCACACAGAUGGCCUCUUCGUCUACCUCGCAGAAGAGCUUCAGGGCUUCUUGGUGUUUGGGACAGAUGCCCUGAUCGGUCACGCGGCUCCCUCGACCAGGGGUUGGGUGCAUCUGCCGAAUCACCUGGACCAUAUUGGCCAGCUGCAGGUUGGGGCGGAAGCUCCGCCGAGGAAAGCUCUUUCGGCACUGAGGGCAUGUGAAGCACCUCCGAGGGGCUGGAGGCGGGGGCAGUGGGGUGACGGGGUCUAGAUCCUCUUCCUCAACCUCCUCCAGCACUUCCUCCUCGUCCUCCUCAUCCUCCCCCCUCAGGUCCUCCUCCUCCAUGUCCCCCAAGUAGUAGUCCAGGUCUUCCUCCUCGUCCUCCUCCUCCCACACAUAGUCCAUGUUGUCCCAGCUGGACCUGCUCAUGCCACUGGUCCAGAACACACCCUCUUCUUCCUCCUCGACCUCCUCCUCCAUGUCACCCUCGUAGUCUUCAUCCCGCAUGGGGGUGUCCCACCCCGCGCCAGCCCCCACAGCCUCCACUUCCUCCUCCUCUCCGUCCUCCUCCUCCUCCUCCCGAUCUAACUCAUCUCUGUCCUCCUCAUCCUCCCCACCCCACAACUGGGUUACACAAACUCGGCAGAAGUUGUGCCCGCAGCCGAUGGACACGGGGUCCGUGAAGUAAUCGAGGCAGAUGGCGCACACCGCCUCCUCCUGAAGGGUCUGCACAGGGUUGGGUGUCAUGGCAACGGCAGCCAUCUUAGUGUCCAGCCAGCCAGUGUAGAGGUUCGGUGGGGGGGCGAGGGGCGGGGGUCUUCCCUACCGACGCCCUGGCGACCCGGCUCCACCCCCAGCCCUGCCCCUCCACACCUCGCCCCAAGAGCAGCCAGAGAGAUGUCCUGCCGACAACCCACCCCAACACAGUGUUCCCUACUCCCAAACGACAACCGUGUCUCUACGAGGGGAGGGGACAGUGCUGGGCGCCACCGCCAAGUCCCUCAGGUGGCUCUGAGUACAAGUCUGCCCCAAUGCUCCCUUGGACUCCUCAUAAACCCCCGCCCCUCCUCACUUCCUGGCCCCGCCCCUAGCUUCCGGCCUCCUUCCCAACACUUCCGGCGUCUACACACCACCUAAGCUCGCGACUUCCCUCCGCUGUCCUGCUACUCCCCCUUUUUCCCCGCGGGGCCCCAGGGCGACAGGAAAUGGCGAGGAGACGCUCUAGUCCGCACUAGAGAACAGGGCGGGAGGGCUAGGACGGUGGAGGCCCGCGUCUCUGUGGUAAGAGGCCGCGGGGAACGCAGAAAGAACAGAGGAACCGCCUACCCCCAUCCCCCGCCGCUGGGGAGAAACUUCGGGGGGUAGGGGGAGCGCCUGGCGGCCGUCUGCUUUCGGUGCUAUCACCGCAUCGGCCAGACGCCAUCCUACCCUCCCGGCACAGCCGACUGCAGCCGGUACUCCCCACAGCCGAUGCCGGAAGCGAGGGGGUGGGUCCGCGGCGCGCCCUGAAGUACUUCCGGCCCUUCUAGGCAGACGACUUCGUUGUGGAGGACUCAGAGGGUCGUCCGGGUCGGACCGGGGGCGGGGCCUGAGAAAGCGCUUCGCGGGUUAGGGCAGCAGACGCCCCACCCUUCCCCAACUGUAGUCGGCGUUUCGCAUCCGAGGUAGAAACUGCCAACCGGACACUGUCUCAUGGUUUAGAUGAACUUCCCUAACUGCCCAGCAGUGAAGAAGUGGUGACGAAUCAUUACAUCUACAUUCUCACAGCAUCUCUGCAAAAAUAGAUGCUUUGUGCGGUAGAAAUAAUACUUGAUGCUUAAAUAGCUCUUUAAAUUUUAUUUUUAUAGAGAUUUGAUGUCGAUACAUAAAUAAAUAAAUGUUGUUUGAUGCGAG